RNAcentral lists this ribosomal RNA (252 nucleotides) under uncultured bacterium. Its description in RNAcentral is "partial 16S ribosomal RNA". It matches the Rfam family "Bacterial small subunit ribosomal RNA", at positions 524 to 776 of the family's 1533-position model. The record is from RNAcentral.
UACGGAGGAUGCGAGCGUUAUCCGGAUUUAUUGGGUUUAAAGGGUGCGUAGGCGGAUCGUUAAGUCGGUGGUCAAAUUGAGGGGCUCAACCCCUUCCCGCCAUUGAAACUGGCGCUCUUGAGUGGAAGAGAAGUAUGCGGAAUGCGUGGUGUAGCGGUGAAAUGCAUAGAUAUCACGCAGAACCCCGAUUGCGAAGGCAGCAUGCCGGCUUCCGACUGACGCUGAAGCACGAAAGCGUGGGGAUCGAACAGG